UCAGAGAGAGCUAGCAUCUGCUGAGGUCCCCUCGGCUGGAUGCCCUACGCAUUUUACACACAUUGUCUCAUUUAUCUCUAGGGUUGGUUUGAACAAAGAAGUGCUUUGAGAGUUCAGAUGUGGAGCCAGGAACCCUGCCUGCCAUGGGAUGCAGGGAGAGGGGGUGGCGAGCAGGCCACAGCGACCCCAAGAAGCUGCUCCAACCCCUGGGACUAUGGAGCUCUACAGCUGUAGAGACCACCAGGAAGUGGACUGCAGGCCCCUGGCCUCUCCAUUCAGAUUCUGCAAAGAGAUCCUGAUGGGUUGGGCCAAUGGGUCAGGCAUCCAGUCAGCUCUGGCUAAGGGGUGAAGGAGUCAGGUGUUACCAACGUGGUGGCAGGGGCCACCUUGAAGCUGUGUUCUGUGCCAUGGAAGAAGGAAGAGGAGGAGGAAGCUAAGCUGGAAGGGAAGGCAGGCUAGGCUCCUGGAGUCAGUAGUUGGAAUCUCAGAUGGGAAGAAACCUUAAAAGUCAUCUGGUCCAGUAUUUUCCAAAGCAUGUUCCAUGAACUUGUUUUCCAGAAAUGGUUUCCUGGUCUGG
This 577-nucleotide long non-coding RNA is filed under the name Homo sapiens (human). RNAcentral describes it as "HSALNT0230794". Lineage: Eukaryota; Metazoa; Chordata; Mammalia; Primates; Hominidae. The record is from RNAcentral.